This 26-nucleotide non-coding RNA is filed under the name Mus musculus (house mouse). The record is from RNAcentral. Lineage: Eukaryota; Metazoa; Chordata; Mammalia; Rodentia; Muridae.
UGAGGUUUCUGAAUCAGCUGUUGUGG